RNAcentral lists this ribosomal RNA (468 nucleotides) under uncultured bacterium. RNAcentral describes it as "partial 16S ribosomal RNA". It matches the Rfam family "Bacterial small subunit ribosomal RNA", at positions 28 to 507 of the family's 1533-position model. The record is from RNAcentral.
GACGAACGCUGGCGGCGUGCUUAACACAUGCAAGUCGAACGGAAAGGCCCUGCUUUUGUGGGGUGCUCGAGUGGCGAACGGGUGAGUAACAGGUUAGUAACCUGCUCUUGACUUUGGUAUAACUUCACGAAACUGGGGCUACUACCGGAUAGCAGCUCCUGCUGCAUGGUGGGGGUUGGAUAUUUUCGGCGGUUGGGGAUGGACUCGCGGCUUAUCUGCUUGUUGGUGGGGUAGUGGCUUACCAAGGCUUUGACGGGUAGCCGGCCUGAGAGGGGGACCGGCCACAUGGGGACUGAGAGAGGGCCCAGAGUCGUACGGGAGGCAGCGGGGGGGAAAAUGGAACAAUGGGCGGAAGCCGGAGGCAGAAACGCCGGGGGCGGAAUGACGGCCUUCGGGUUGUAAACCGCUUCCGCCUGUGACGAAGCGUGAGUGACGGUAAUGGGUAAAGAAGCACCGGCUAACUACGUG